Molecule: ribosomal RNA, 660 nt
Filed under: Salmonella enterica subsp. enterica serovar Typhimurium
Lineage: Bacteria; Pseudomonadati; Pseudomonadota; Gammaproteobacteria; Enterobacterales; Enterobacteriaceae
Description: partial 23S ribosomal RNA
Rfam family: Bacterial large subunit ribosomal RNA
Source: RNAcentral
GGGUUGUGAGGUUAAGCGACUAAGCGUACACGGUGGAUGCCCUGGCAGUCAGAGGCGAUGAAGGACGUGCUAAUCUGCGAUAAGCGCCGGUAAGGUGAUAUGAACCGUUAUAACCGGCGAUUUCCGAAUGGGGAAACCCAGUGUGAUUCGUCACACUAUCAUUAACUGAAUCCAUAGGUUAAUGAGGCGAACCGGGGGAACUGAAACAUCUAAGUACCCCGAGGAAAAGAAAUCAACCGAGAUUCCCCCAGUAGCGGCGAGCGAACGGGGAGGAGCCCAGAGCCUGAAUCAGCAUGUGUGUUAGUGGAAGCGUCUGGAAAGGCGCGCGAUACAGGGUGACAGCCCCGUACACAAAAGCGCAUGUGCUGUGAGCUCGAUGAGUAGGGCGGGACACGUGGUAUCCUGUCUGAAUAUGGGGGGACCAUCCUCCAAGGCUAAAUACUCCUGACUGACCGAUAGUGAACCAGUACCGUGAGGGAAAGGCGAAAAGAACCCCGGCGAGGGGAGUGAAAAAGAACCUGAAACCGUGUACGUACAAGCAGUGGGAGCACCCUUCGGGGUGUGACUGCGUACCUUUUGUAUAAUGGGUCAGCGACUUAUAUUCUGUAGCAAGGUUAACCGUAUAGGGGAGCCGGAGGGAAACCGAGUCUUAAUUGGGCG